Molecule: ribosomal RNA, 497 nt
Filed under: uncultured bacterium
Lineage: Bacteria
Description: partial 16S ribosomal RNA
Rfam family: Bacterial small subunit ribosomal RNA
Source: RNAcentral
GAUGAACGCUGGCGGCGUGCCUAAUACAUGCAAGUCGAGCGAACAGACGAGGAGCUUGCUCCUCUGACGUUAGCGGCGGACGGGUGAGUAACACGUGGAUAACCUACCUAUAAGACUGGGAUAACUUCGGGAAACCGGAGCUAAUACCGGAUAAUAUAUUGAACCGCAUGGUUCAAUAGUGAAAGACGGUUUUGCUGGCACUUAUAGAUGGAUCCGCGCCGCAUUAGCUAGUUGGUAAGGUAACGGCUUACCAAGGCAACGAUGCGUAGCCGACCUGAGAGGGUGAUCGGCCACACUGGAACUGGGACACGGUCCAGACUCCUACGGGAGGCAGCAGUAGGGAAUUUUCCGCAAUGGGCGAAAGCCUGACGGAGCAACGCCGCGUGAGUGAUGAAGGUCUUCGGAUCGUAAAACUCUGUUAUUAGGGAAGAACAAAUGUGUAAGUAACUAUGCACGUCUUGACGGUACCUAAUCAGAAAGCCACGGCUAACUACGUG